This 378-nucleotide ribosomal RNA is filed under the name uncultured bacterium. Its description in RNAcentral is "bacterial SSU rRNA". It matches the Rfam family "Bacterial small subunit ribosomal RNA", at positions 30 to 408 of the family's 1533-position model. The record is from RNAcentral.
AUUGAACGCUGGCGGCAUGCUUUACACAUGCAAGUCGAACGGCAGCGCGGGGGCAACCCUGGCGGCGAGUGGCGAACGGGUGAGUAAUGCAUCGGAACGUAUCCUGUAAUGGGGGAUAACGUAGCGAAAGUUACGCUAAUACCGCAUACGCUCGAGAGAGGAAAGUGGGGGAUCGCAAAAACCUCACGUUAUAGGAGCGGCCGAUGUCCGAUUAGCUAGUUGGUGGGGUAAAGGCCUACCAAGGCGACGAUCGGUAGCUGGUCUGAGAGGAUGAUCAGCCACACUGGGACUGAGACACGGCCCAGACUCCUACGGGAGGCAGCAGUGGGAAUUUUGGACAAUGGGCGAAAGCCUGAUCCAGCCAUGCCGCGUGCGGAG